UUUUUUUCUCCUUCACACGUAUAUUAUGAAAAUAAAGAAAAUAUAGGGUGUGGUAGGGUAGGAAUUCCUCUUGAUUUAAUGUAAUUACGAAUAAUUCCCAUAAAAAUAAUUACUUAGUGUCCCUGCAAGGCAGGAUCUCUUCUUUCCCCUAACUAGUGUUCAGUAGUGAGACUCAAAAAACGAAGGUAUUGAGUUAUACACCCAAUUUUUGUAAAAUGACUCCAGUCAACCAGAAAGUUGGAGGGAGGUCAUUCCAGGCCAAUUUGAUUGAGUUGAUCAAUUGGCUAAGUUUUAUGAUUAAUGUAUUUGUCUGUUUUAAAUUUUAUGUAAACAUAUCGCUUUGGUUCUUGGGGGCUGUUCGCAUGGAAGCAAAAUGGUUAGAAUGAUAACAGUGAACACUCAGGGCCUUAACUCGACAGCAAAAAGAUCAUUGGUCUAUAUUUUUUUAGAUAGGGAAAAAAUAGAUGUAGGCUACUUUCAAGAGACUCAUUGGAGGGCUUAAUAUAAAUAAGUUGGAAGGAGUUAGAUUUCCAACUCUAAUUUAUGCGACUAUUAAAGAUUUUUUAAAAAUGGAG
Non-coding RNA from Pelobates cultripes (western spadefoot toad), 575 nucleotides. Lineage: Eukaryota; Metazoa; Chordata; Amphibia; Anura; Pelobatidae. The record is from the annotation of a GenBank genome assembly.